This 83-nucleotide transfer RNA is filed under the name Canis lupus familiaris (dog). It matches the Rfam family "tRNA". From Rfam's summary of the family: Transfer RNA (tRNA) molecules are approximately 80 nucleotides in length. Their secondary structure includes four short double-helical elements and three loops (D, anti-codon, and T loops). RNAcentral also lists the same sequence under 1 other name. Lineage: Eukaryota; Metazoa; Chordata; Mammalia; Carnivora; Canidae. The record is from Rfam by way of RNAcentral.
ACCUGGGUGGCUCAGUGGUUGAGCAUCUGCCUUUGGCUCAGGUCAUGAUCCUGGGGUCCUGGGAUCGAAUCCCACAUCAGGUU